Molecule: long non-coding RNA, 1128 nt
Organism: Bos taurus (domestic cattle)
Lineage: Eukaryota; Metazoa; Chordata; Mammalia; Artiodactyla; Bovidae
Source: Ensembl
ACAGAGGAGCCUGGCAAGCUACAGCCCAUGCAGUCACAAAGAGUCAGACACUACUGAGCGACUAACACUUUCACAUAAUGUGCUAAAAAAAUAGCAUAGAGAUAAGAAUGUACUCUCUGCUUGGGGUUGAGUGGGGCAAUAAGAAAAGCAAACAAGCACCGUAACGUGUUAAAGGGCCGUUGGUAUGUGACGCACGGUGGAAAGUGAACACUUGUACCUGUGUACACAAGGAGACCUUCGGGACAGUCACCGCUGCACUGUGUGUACAGCAAACAGCCAGGAUGUCCAUCCACAGGGGAAUAAGGAGAAAAGUUGUGCUGUGUCAUCUACUGAAAUACUCUGCAGCAUUCACCAUGCAUGAACCAGAGCUUCCUGUAUCAAUAUGGGUGACCUGGUAAGCACAAUGUGGAAGGAAAAAAGUUACAAACACAGACAGUGAACUUGCUUUCUGUAAAUUUACAAAACAGUUCCAUAGAAUGCAGGCUUAUGUAGUCAAAGUGUAAACAUAGUCUGGAGACAUUGGGUUCAGAACAGAGGUUUUCUCUGGGGAGACAAGGAAGAGAGGUGGGUCUGGAGAGUCUGAGAGGUGUGUUAGGCUGUUAGGAUCUUUAACGACAUUUGGAAAACGUUGAUUCUAAAAAUACAAACGAAAUAUGGUUUCCCUGAUGGCUCAGACGGUAAGGAAUCUGCUGCCUGCAAUUCAGGAGACCGAGGUUCAAUUCCUGGGUCAGGAAGAUUCCCUGGAGAAGGGAAUGGCAACCCAUUCCAGUAUUAUUGCCUGGAGAAUUCCAUGGACAUAGGAGCCUGGCGGGCUACAGUCCAUGGGGUCACAAAGAAUAGGACGUGACUGAGCGACUAACGUAACACAUGACAAAAUAUCAGUGCUGAUUAGCUGAGAGGUUGGAGUUUUGUUAUAGUUCUCUCCCUCGAUACGUAUAUAUAUGAAUGUAUAUAGAUAGAUAUAGAUAUGCAUACAUUUGAAAUAUGACUGAAGCUAUAGAGUCAGGGCAUCUUCACGGAGAACUCAGGUAAAGCGACAGGGAGGCCCAGCCCAUAGAGUUGUGACUCAGAAGAAGUGAGCAAAGACUUUGGGAAAAACACAUUUUUAAGGGAGAAGGUACAGAAAGA